This 253-nucleotide ribosomal RNA is filed under the name uncultured bacterium. Its description in RNAcentral is "partial 16S ribosomal RNA". It matches the Rfam family "Bacterial small subunit ribosomal RNA", at positions 524 to 776 of the family's 1533-position model. The record is from RNAcentral.
UACGUAGGGUGCAGGCGUUAAUCGGAAUUACUGGGCGUAAAGCGUGCGCAGGCGGUUUGCUAAGACAGGUGUGAAAUCCCCGGGCUUAACCUGGGAACUGCAUUUGUGACUGCAUGGCUAGAGUGCGGCAGAGGGGGAUGGAAUUCCGCGUGUAGCAGUGAAAUGCGUAGAUAUGCGGAGGAACACCGAUGGCGAAGGCAAUCCCCUGGGCCUGCACUGACGCUCAUGCACGAAAGCGUGGGGAGCAAACAGG